AAUCACUAACAAUCAUGAAAUGUUUAUCUCUAUGGUUUUCUCCACCAAAGUUCGGGUAUAGAUAUUAGUGUUACUUUUCGUUGUAGAAUUUAAUUGGUUAUAGUUGUUAACGAGUGAUUUAUAGGUUGUGAAUGGUGACUAAAACCGUAUCCAAAACCGUAUCGUAACAGUGUUGUAACAAUAUCAAAAUUUUUACAUAUAUAUAUGUAUUUAUGUAUUUUUGUUAUUAUUUGAACCGCACUGCACUUUUCCCGCAUCGCAAAACACAGUCACCAUUCGGAGCCAUAGUUUAUGUUGUUAUAUUUACCCUA
RNAcentral lists this small RNA (311 nucleotides) under Arabidopsis thaliana (thale cress). RNAcentral describes it as "ATSL017710". Lineage: Eukaryota; Viridiplantae; Streptophyta; Magnoliopsida; Brassicales; Brassicaceae. The record is from RNAcentral.